UGGUAGGGCACCAUGGCCAGGAACACCACCAUCGAGGCGGUAAAGCGCAAGAUCCAGGUUCUGCAGCAGCAGGCUGAUGAUGCAGAGGAGAGGGCCGAGCACCUCCAGCGGGAAGUGGAGGGAGAAAGGUGGGCCCGGGAGCAGGCCGAAGCUGAGGUGGCCUCCUUGAACCACAGGAUCCAGGAGCUGGACCGUGCCCAGGAGCACCUUGCCACUGCUUUGCAGAAGCUGGAGGAAGCAGAGAAGGCUGCUGAUGAGAGUGAGAGAGGUAUGAAGGUGAUUGAAGAUCGGGCUCUAAAAGAUGAAGAAAAGAUGGAACUCCAGGAAAUCCAGCUAAAGGAGGCAAAGCACAUUGCAGAAGAGGCAUACAGGAAGUAUGAAGAAGUGGCUCGUAAGUUGGAGAUUAUUGAAGGAGACUUGGAACGCACGGAGGAACGUGCAGAGCUGGCAGAGUCCCGUUGCCGAGAGAUGGAUGAGCAGAUCAGACUGAUGGACCAGAACCUGAAGUGUCUGAGUGCUGCUAAAGAAAAGUACUCUUAAAAAGAAGACAAAUAUAAAGAAAUAAAGAUUCUUACUGAUAUACUCAAGGAGGCAGAGACCCAUGCUGAGUUUGCUGAAAGAUCAGUAGCCAAACUGGAGAAGACCAUUGAUGACUUGGAAGAUAAACUGAAGUGCACCAAAGAGGAGCAUCUCUGUACACAGAGGAUGCUAGACCAGACCCUGCUGGACCUGAACGAGAUGUAGACCUCCCCCAUCCCUGCCCUGCAGCUGCUCCUCCCUCUGACCUUGACUCCGCUGGAGGCCAGCCUCCUGAAGCUGACCUUGACACUGAGGGCUGAUCUUUUUAACUGAAGGCUGCUUUCCCUCCUGCCACCCCCUCUACCCCUCUUGUCUUUUUCACAAAACUGUAUCAGCCUCUUCCCAGAGUUCCAGCUGGAGGGGCUGAACAUCUUUGGGAACAAUAUUUAAGGGAAUGUGAGCACAAUGCAGUGUCUUCAAUGCAGUUGUGAUAUACACAUUGUGAUUACUUUUUGUCUUAGCAACCAUUUUUAACAUUCCAAGCACUUCUGCCGCUUGGAGCAGCACAUUGGAUACUGUCUCACCAUGGAGGAGAAACCCAGAAUUGGGCCUGCCUUCCUGAGAGCCAGCAGAGCCCAGGCAGGCUCCUGUGGGAGACCUCAGUGCUCUGCACCAAGUCUUAGCCAAACAACAGGGGGAUUCUAGAAAGUUAGCCAAAAACAAAAAACUGUUCCGGGCUGUGAAAGUUUUCAGCUUUGGUUUCUUUGAACAACUUUACACUUAUUUUUAUUUUGUACUUUUUCCAUCAGAUGUGACCAAAUAAGACAUUGAGACGGCUGAGACAGCCCCACCUCCCAGGGCCUCAUGCAUGUUAGGCAAGCAUGCUACCUUUCAGCCCCAGCCCUGAGCCCAAACUUGUCGCAGCUCUACCCCUUUCCUAACUGCUCAAAGAUGGAUCAUGCCGCCCUUUAGUGUUGUGGUGACCUCUUAGAGGUCACCUGCCCCCAAGGGAGUCAGAGAAAGGAAAAUUAUGUUUGUACCACUGAUUUAGCCACAUGAACAUCAUCUCAUCACCCUUUCCUGAAGCUGUGGUCUCUAAAGCGCCAUCUCAUU
Mus pahari (shrew mouse) is the source of this 1632-nucleotide RNA transcript. It is a transcript of the gene named tropomyosin alpha-3 chain pseudogene, with no coding region annotated. NCBI's taxonomy places the organism in Eukaryota, Metazoa, Chordata, Mammalia, Rodentia, Muridae. The record is from RefSeq and is a predicted model, not a curated record. The transcript has a single exon.